This is a long non-coding RNA of Cylas formicarius (sweet potato weevil), 1316 nucleotides long. RefSeq lists it as uncharacterized. The record is from RefSeq and is a predicted model, not a curated record. Lineage: Eukaryota; Metazoa; Arthropoda; Insecta; Coleoptera; Brentidae. The transcript is spliced from 3 exons.
UUUUCGAUUCGCAUUCGUCAGUAAAUGUUUGUAUUGCGGCCUAUACAACCGCACAGGCUCGUUUAAAAUUAUAUAGUUAUUUAGACCAGCUAGGUGAAAGGGUACUCUAUUACGAUACAGACUCCGUUAUUUUUAUUCAAAAACCCGGUGAAUACGAGCCCCCCACUGGCGAGUUUAUUGGAGAUCUCACCGACGAACUCGAGGAAUACGGCCCCGGAUCUUUCAUUUCAGAAUUUAUUUUUUCUAUUUUAACCAAAAAAAAAAAAAAGAAAUGGGCCACCUGAAACUUCCUGAAAAUAAUUCAUUACAAGAUUAUGCAGAUGAGGAAAUACGUAAUCAUAAUCAUUAUCUGAUGCAAUACAUUUCAAAUUUUGAAAAGGUAAUUAAUUUAGCCAUAUCGGGGGGAUUUGAUUUUGAAUUUAGACGUGCUAGAGUGACAAACGAAAUAGUUGUAAUAUUGACAGAUUACAGCUGGACUGGGGACAAAAUAUUGUUUCAAGGAAACGACUUUUUGCGAUUAACAAAAAUUUUAGUAAAAAAAAUCAACCCAAACAGUGAGACGGACGUCGAAUUUAAAUACCUUUUUGGCAAUGUUCGAGUCGAAUACAUGUAUUACGAAAAAUCUAUUUUUAGUUUAGACUUUCGUACCUAUUAUACCAGCGUAUUUCUAUUCAGAGAGUCCGUUUUUGAUUUUCUCAAAAAAGCCGACCAGAUCGUUACGAUUCUUACCCACCUGCUCCAGCCGAGGGAGCAAUAAGGGUACAAUAUCUGUUUUAUUAGUCAACUGUAAAUACCGCAUCAUGUUUGUGGUUGUGUAAGUGAUCGUAAAUUUGCCUCGUGGCAAAGGCCUGCCGGCUAUCGGUUUAUUAUUUAUAGGGGAUAGGAUAGGCAAAAACUUUUUUAAUAAGAAGGACCCGCUGACAAAUUAGAUCGAAAAAUAAGUAUAUACAUAUAUAGCAGCGGGUCUUUUUUUUUUUUUUUAAAUAAUAAUAAUUUUUUCAACAGAAUUUUAGGCUAAGCUAAAUACCCUACGCAACAAAAUAUUGAAGGAUCUUCAGGAUCCUACCAGUGAGCGAGUAGAAAAUUAUUUGCAAAGAGGAUAAAGAAGAGCUACUAUGGACGAGAAAAUUAUGAUGUCAUGUUGAACCUUCCUGAUUUCAUAGCAAAGCCCAUAUUUGUGAUCGAUUGUUCCCACCACACGGAAGCCAUAAAGUCUUCAACGGUGGAUAUUAAAUUGGAGUUUGAAGCUAAAACCAAAUUUCCAAAAGGCGUACGGGUGUACGCGCUAAUUCUUCACGAUGCCUUUUUAUCGUAUA